CGUCACGCGCCCCUCCCCCAAAACGAAAUCCAAUUCCGUCCGCCCUUUUCUCCUGUGCGCAGACCUCCAAAACGAAACCAUACCAUCUCACUCUUCCCCGCAGUGUCUCUUCCUUAUCUUCAUCCAAAGCCAUUCUCUUCUCAAAACCUCACCAUCCCCAAAGCCUUCAACGACCUCAGCUGGUCGUCACUUCCUUUCUCGCCUUGGAUUCUCUCUACUCACACCAAGCCUUCAUCUUCUAGACGGAGAUUUUCUAUGAAUGCGAGUUAACUUCCAUUAGUCGGCAAUCUGGCACCUGACUUUUAUUAUGAUUUGCAGGAAUAUAGAGGCAGUUUGGUUCCCCAUAGAGGCCGUCGAUCGUCAUAAAACCUGCCGAAACGCUCCAUCCCCCCACUCCAUCGUCAAAUUGUGGAGUGGUUGUGAGGAUGGUUGCGAUUUCUGGUGGAAGGCAAAAUUGAAGCUGAAGUUAAACUCACUGGAUUCUCAGCUUAGGAGCAUUGCCACCUAGGGAAUCCAGAAAAUAUGGUUAUGCACAAGCACCAGAAGUAUUUUAUGUGAGUAUUGAAGGUGGUUGGAUUCGGUAUUAGAUUGUAAAAAUAAUGGGUUUUUAGCAUAGAGUAAAAAUUCUGUCUGAAAACUUUGUGUUCUAUGGCAAUUUGUUAGAAAUGUGAAAUAAGCUCUGAAAUCACAUCCUGAUUUUAUCGGUGUUGUAGUGCUUCUUCAAGCCAAAUGGUAAGGUAGAGCUGGUAGAACCAGAAUAUGGCGGAGCCAUCUCUCCACAGUGCACAUUGCAGGGUAAUGUAUCAAUAAGAACCAUCUCUCUUGUGGGUCAUGUCACGAAUGUUCUGUGUUUCAAAAAUCACACACAUUAGACAUUCCUAGCCAUCAUUUUUCUUCACUUUCCUACACCGAAUGUUGACUGCUUAUUUGCUUUAUAACCUUGCUCUGAAGGCCACGGAGCAGAUGGGUAUCCAAUCUAAGUGUAGUUUGAAAUCAUCCAAUCACCCUGCCAUGUUUACUUUGCAAAUCUACCAGCACACAUCUAAUUCUUUAGUUACGUACAUAUAAAGAAGCUAUUCUUCUUUAGAUAGGUGAACACUACGCUACAUGCUAUUUGAUAUUUAAACACUACCGUAGAUCUACUAUGGUCUGAGCUCUAGACCUAGAUAUUUAAACACUGUUUACGUCUCUUUAACUUGAUCUUACUGACCAUAAAGUAUUUGUGGUUGCCUUGAUUCAUGUUAAUCUUGUAACAAAUGGCUUCUAUUUUGUGAAAAAGUGCUUGCAUUUAAGUCUAUUGUGCCUAUGAUAUUACAGGAUUCCUUAUAUCAUAAUUUUUCCGAGGAGGAACUGAUGCGAGUUCAUGAAUAUAAUUUUGACUAUCCUGGUCAAUCUUUCAGAUGUGAUAAUUUUGGAAGGGAUACUUUUUUCAUAUUGUUUCCAAAAAUGCUGUGAUCUAGUCUAGUUACUCAUGUAUAUGAACCAUGCAACAAAGUGGCAGCUGUAAAAGCUAGAAGACCAUCUUUACGUGCAUGAAAUCCACCCUCUCCAUAAGGUACAAUACCCCUUUUCUUGACUUGAUACCAACUCUUGAUCAACAUAUGUUUCUUACCAAACUAAUUUCUUAGUCAAAUCUACUUGUAAUUUCCAUCACAUUUCUUGCAGUCCACUUUUUUUCUGGUAAGAUUUUCAUUUAAUCUUGGGUUGGCAAUGGGUUGGGUUUUGGUUGAGUUGGAUCAGCCUGGGUUGGACCUGUUCACUAAGCAAGCAAAGAAGUCAAACCUAUGCCCAGCCCAUUUACUAAAUGGGCUGAGAUUCAAACUAGAGUUCAACCUAGAACCCUUGAAUUCAAACUACUUUCUACUUGUUGAGAUUUAACUUUUUAUGUAAACAUUUCGCAGCUCAUACGAUUACAGAAAUGUUUUUCCAGAUGCUGUUUUUCUUUUCUUUUCUUUUGUUGUUCUUGUUGUUUUGUUUCGAUGUUUAGUACUCGUAUUUCUUAGAAUCAGAAUUUACCCAUUGAAUUUGACCCAAAUUCAUUGAUAAAAUAUCUUUUCAGGGAUCUAUCUUACAACAAUUUCAGUGGAGAUUGCCAGGCUCAUUCAGUAAUUUCCAUUUUACCAUCAUCAUGGGCAAAGUAGUAACUAGUUUGUAUUUCUGUAGGUAAUUUCUUAUUAUAUGAACCACGAUGGCUGUAUAUUUUGUUGGAAAAUAAGUUCUUGUUCAUCAUCUA
Magnolia sinica is the source of this 2233-nucleotide RNA transcript. RefSeq lists it as uncharacterized. The transcript is spliced from 6 exons. Lineage: Eukaryota; Viridiplantae; Streptophyta; Magnoliopsida; Magnoliales; Magnoliaceae. The record is from RefSeq and is a predicted model, not a curated record.